CCUACGGGAGGCUGCAGUGGGGAAUCUUCCGCAAUGGGCGCAAGCCUGACGGAGUGACGCCGCGUGGGGGACGAAGGCCUUCGGGUCGUAAACCCCUGUCAGAGGGAAAGAAGGCGGCGGCGGUGAACAGCCGACGCCGUUGACGGUACCUUCAGAGGAAGCCCCGGCCAACUCUGUGCCAGCAGCCGCGGUAAGACAGAGGGGGCAAGCGUUGCUCGGAAUCACUGGGCGUAAAGGGCGCGUAGGCGGGUCCGGAAGUCGGUCGUGAAAUCCCUGAGCUCAACUCAGGGGGGUCGGCCGAGACUCCGGGUCUUGAGGGGGGCAGAGGAGCCUGGAAUUCCCGGUGUAGCGGUGAAAUGUGUAGAGAUCGGGAGGAACACCGGUGGCGAAGGCGGGGCUCUGGGCCCACCCUGACGCUGAGGCGCGAAAGCGUGGGGAGC
Molecule: ribosomal RNA, 440 nt
Filed under: uncultured bacterium
Lineage: Bacteria
Description: bacterial SSU rRNA
Rfam family: Bacterial small subunit ribosomal RNA
Source: RNAcentral